RNAcentral lists this long non-coding RNA (738 nucleotides) under Panax ginseng (ginseng). Its description in RNAcentral is "long non-coding RNA (PGIN_LNC008892)". The record is from RNAcentral. Lineage: Eukaryota; Viridiplantae; Streptophyta; Magnoliopsida; Apiales; Araliaceae.
AACAGGUCACUUACUUAACCAGAGUUGUAGGGGUCAAAAAUUAGGGCAUGAAAAACUCAGAAAAAAAAAGAAUGAGGCUCCAUAGGGAAGGGAAGUUUCUAAGGGUGGUUGCCCCUCUCUGUUAAAUUGAAUCAUCUUCUUCCGAUCAUUCAUUUAUUGGGCCUAUGAUUUCAUUUUCCAGUUACCCAAAUUAAUCAACAACCCUCUAGUGUGUGUAUAUAUAUGUAUAGGAAACUGGUAUUUCUACAUGUGUUUAUUCUUCUUCAUUCAAACCCAUUCAGCUCAACUUCUAUUACUGUGCUGCUGCUGCUAGUACUACUAUAUAAGAGCCAUAGGCUUGUCAAAAAGAAAAGAAAAGAAAAGAAAAACUACGCAAGAGACUGUGAUGAUGAAUCAAUUUUCUGAGUUAAAUCGGGCAUUGAGAGAAUGUGACCCGUAUCUUGGCGGGGCGACUCGGAGGGUAUGCGAGAGAUCGAUUGGUUAAUAUAGUCUUCUUUCUCUCUCAUGCAACUGUUGGUUGCAGCCAUGGCUGUGUCACCCUCUUGCCUGAUAUAUUACAGAUCUGAGCCUCAGCUUUCCUCAUAUCUCUAUAUUUAUGCAUUUCUAGUGUAUAUGUAUUGGAACUAAAGGGCAUUGCUCAACUUAAUUCAUUUUCCAACUUCCUAAUGGUAAACCUGAAGAAAUUUGAUACUCGGAGCUUUUAAAUCUUGUACUACUCGUCAAAGUCCUACUUAAUUA